RNAcentral lists this ribosomal RNA (449 nucleotides) under uncultured bacterium. Its description in RNAcentral is "partial 16S ribosomal RNA". It matches the Rfam family "Bacterial small subunit ribosomal RNA", at positions 29 to 523 of the family's 1533-position model. The record is from RNAcentral.
AACGAACGCUGGCGGCAUGCCUAACACAUGCAAGUCGAACGAGACCUUCGGGUCUAGUGGCGCACGGGUGCGUAACGCGUGGGAAUCUGCCCUUUGGUUCGGAAUAACAGUUGGAAACGACUGCUAAUACCGGAUGAUGACGAAAGUCCAAAGAUUUAUCGCCAGAGGAUGAGCCCGCGUAGGAUUAGCUAGUUGGUGUGGUAAAGGCGCACCAAGGCGACGAUCCUUAGCUGGUCUGAGAGGAUGAUCAGCCACACUGGGACUGAGACACGGCCCAGACUCAUACGGGAGGCAGCAGUGGGGAAUAUUGGACAAUGGGCGAAAGCCUGAUCCAGCACUGCCGCGUGAGUGAUGAAGGCCUUAGGGUUGUAAAGCUCUUUUACCCGGGAUGAUAAUGACAGUACCGGGAGAAUAAGCUCCGGCUAACUCCGUGCCAGCCGCCGCCGUAA